AACUGCCAUGACAUUCACUCACCUUCGAAAAAGACGCCAACAGACCCUUGAUUGAUGGACGACGCCGACCAGACGACGGCAAGAAGAUGAAGCCGACGGCAAAAAGAUGCAAAGAGUAGGGGAUGGGGCGAGCUCGCGGAAGAAGAGAGCAGGGGAGUUGGAGACUUGGGGGCAGUGGCUCGAUGGAGAGGCGACAGUGGGUCGAAAAGAGUAGCUAGGGUUGGAUAAGGGAGAGUGAAUGAUUCGGGCAAGCAGAGCAUAGGCUGAAAGGAGUGAGAACUGAGAAGUGAAGUGACAAUGGAGGCUGAGCCA
Molecule: non-coding RNA, 312 nt
Organism: Arachis ipaensis
Lineage: Eukaryota; Viridiplantae; Streptophyta; Magnoliopsida; Fabales; Fabaceae
Source: RefSeq, a predicted model, not a curated record